GGGGCUCUGGCUCAGUGGUAGAGCCUAUGCUUGCCAUGCAGAAGGUCCCAGGUUCAAAACCUGGCAUCUCCA
This is a non-coding RNA of Gekko japonicus, 72 nucleotides long. Lineage: Eukaryota; Metazoa; Chordata; Lepidosauria; Squamata; Gekkonidae. The record is from the annotation of a RefSeq genome assembly.